Small nuclear RNA from Suncus etruscus (white-toothed pygmy shrew), 106 nucleotides. The record is from RefSeq and is a predicted model, not a curated record. Lineage: Eukaryota; Metazoa; Chordata; Mammalia; Eulipotyphla; Soricidae.
GUGCUCGCUUUGGCAGCACAUAUACUAAAAUUGGAAUGAUAUAGAGAUAUUAGCAUGGUCCCUGCGCAAGGAUGACACACAAAUUUAUGAAGCGUUCCAUAUUUAA